Molecule: ribosomal RNA, 1436 nt
Filed under: uncultured organism
Description: 16S ribosomal RNA
Rfam family: Bacterial small subunit ribosomal RNA
Source: RNAcentral
GAUGAACGCUAGCGACAGGCUUAACACAUGCAAGUCGAGGGGCAGCACAGGUAGCAAUACCGGGUGGCGACCGGCGCACGGGUGAGUAACGCGUAUGCAACUUGCCUAUCAGAGGGGGAUAACCCGGCGAAAGUCGGACUAAUACCGCAUGAAGCAGGGGCCCCGCAUGGGGAUAUUUGCUAAAGAUUCAUCGCUGAUAGAUAGGCAUGCGUUCCAUUAGGCAGUUGGCGGGGUAACGGCCCACCAAACCGACGAUGGAUAGGGGUUCUGAGAGGAAGGUCCCCCACAUUGGUACUGAGACACGGACCAAACUCCUACGGGAGGCAGCAGUGAGGAAUAUUGGUCAAUGGGCGUAAGCCUGAACCAGCCAAGUCGCGUGAGGGAUGAAGGUUCUAUGGAUCGUAAACCUCUUUUAUAAGGGAAUAAAGUGCGGGACGUGUCCCGUUUUGUAUGUACCUUAUGAAUAAGGAUCGGCUAACUCCGUGCCAGCAGCCGCGGUAAUACGGAGGAUCCGAGCGUUAUCCGGAUUUAUUGGGUUUAAAGGGUGCGUAGGCGGCCUUUUAAGUCAGCGGUGAAAGUCUGUGGCUCAACCAUAGAAUUGCCGUUGAAACUGGGAGGCUUGAGUAUGUUUGAGGCAGGCGGAAUGCGUGGUGUAGCGGUGAAAUGCUUAGAUAUCACGCAGAACCCCGAUUGCGAAGGCAGCCUGCCAAGCCAUUACUGACGCUGAUGCACGAAAGCGUGGGGAUCAAACAGGAUUAGAUACCCUGGUAGUCCACGCAGUAAACGAUGAUCACUAGCUGUUUGCGAUACACUGUAAGCGGCACAGCGAAAGCGUUAAGUGAUCCACCUGGGGAGUACGCCGGCAACGGUGAAACUCAAAGGAAUUGACGGGGGCCCGCACAAGCGGAGGAACAUGUGGUUUAAUUCGAUGAUACGCGAGGAACCUUACCCGGGUUUGAACGCAUUUUGACAGCUCUGGAAACAGAGCCUCUAGCAAUAGCGAUUUGCGAGGUGCUGCAUGGUUGUCGUCAGCUCGUGCCGUGAGGUGUCGGCUUAAGUGCCAUAACGAGCGCAACCCUUGCCACUAGUUACUAACAGGUAAAGCUGAGGACUCUGGUGGGACUGCCAGCGUAAGCUGCGAGGAAGGCGGGGAUGACGUCAAAUCAGCACGGCCCUUACAUCCGGGGCGACACACGUGUUACAAUGGCGUGGACAAAGGGAGGCCACCUGGCGACAGGGAGCGAAUCCCCAAACCACGUCUCAGUUCGGAUCGGAGUCUGCAACCCGACUCCGUGAAGCUGGAUUCGCUAGUAAUCGCGCAUCAGCCAUGGCGCGGUGAAUACGUUCCCGGGCCUUGUACACACCGCCCGUCAAGCCAUGGGAGCCGGGGGCACCUGAAGUCCGUAACCGAAAGGAUCGGCCUAGGGUAAAACUGG